RNAcentral lists this ribosomal RNA (253 nucleotides) under uncultured bacterium. Its description in RNAcentral is "partial 16S ribosomal RNA". It matches the Rfam family "Bacterial small subunit ribosomal RNA", at positions 524 to 776 of the family's 1533-position model. The record is from RNAcentral.
UACGUAGGGCGUAAGCGUUGUCCGGAAUUAUUGGGCGUAAAGAGCUCGUAGGCGGCCAGUUGCGUCUGCUGUGAAAUCCCGGGGCUCAACCCCGGGCGUGCAGUGGAUACGGGCUGGCUAGAGGCAGGCAGGGGAGAACGGAAUUCCCGGUGUAGCGGUGAAGUGCGCAGAUAUCGGGAGGAACACCGGUGGCGAAGGCGGUUCUCUGGGCCUGUACUGACGCUGAGGAGCGAAAGCGUGGGGAGCGAACAGG